UACGAAGGGGGCUAGCGUUGUUCGGAAUUACUGGGCGUAAAGCGCACGUAGGCGGGUCUGUAAGUAGAGGGUGAAAUCCCAGGGCUCAACCCUGGAACUGCCUUCUAGACUGCAGGCCUCGAGGUCAGGAGAGGCGAGUGGAAUACCGAGUGUAGAGGUGAAAUUCGUAGAUAUUCGGUGGAACACCAGUGGCGAAGGCGACUCGCUGGACUGAUACUGACGCUGAGGUGCGAAAGCGUGGGGACCAAACAGG
Molecule: ribosomal RNA, 253 nt
Filed under: uncultured bacterium
Lineage: Bacteria
Description: partial 16S ribosomal RNA
Rfam family: Bacterial small subunit ribosomal RNA
Source: RNAcentral